UCGAACGGCAAGGACUUUCGGGUCCCUAGAGUGGCGCACGGGUGAKUAACACGUACACAACAUACCCUAUAUUGGAGGAUAGCCUUGGGAAACUGGGGGUAAUAUUCCAUAGUAUUUAUUGGAGGCAUCUCUGAUAAAUUAAAGAGCAAUCGAUAUAGGAUUGGUGUGCGUCCCAUUAGCUAGUUGGUAGGGUAACGGCCUACCAAGGCUACGAUGGGUAGCUGGCGUGAGAGCGCGACCAGCCACACUGGAACUGAGACACGGUCCAGACUCCUACGGGAGGCAGCAGUAGGGAAUAUUGGACAAUGGAGGCAACUCUGAUCCAGCCAUGCCGCGUGGAGGAUGACUGCCCUCUGGGUUGUAAACUCCUUUUGUACAGGAAGAAACCUCCUCAUUUAUGAGUGAGCUGACGGUACUGUAAGAAUAAGCACCGGCUAACUCCGUGCCAGCAGCCGCGGUAAUACGGAGGGUGCAAGCGUUAUCCGGAUUCACUGGGUUUAAAGGGUGCGUAGGCGGUUUGAUAAGUCAGUGGUGAAAUCAACGGGCUCAACCUGUUAACUGCCAUUGAUACUGUUGAACUUGAAUUUGGUAGAGGUAGGCGGAAUGAUGCAUGUAGCGGUGAAAUGCUUAGAUAUGCUUCGGAACACCGAUUGCGAAGGCAGCUUACUAUGUCAAGAUUGACGCUGAUGCACGAAAGCGUGGGUAGCGAACAGGAUUAGAUACCCUGGUAGUCCACGCCCUAAACGAUGAUUACUCGACAUUGGCGAUAUACCGAUCAGUGUCCUAGCGAAAGCGUUAAGUAAUCCAYCUGGGGAGUACGCCCGCAAGGGUGAAACUCAAAGGAAUUGACGGGGGUCCGCACAAGCGGAGGAGCAUGUGGUUUAAUUCGAUGAUACGCGAGGAA
Molecule: ribosomal RNA, 904 nt
Filed under: uncultured bacterium
Lineage: Bacteria
Description: bacterial SSU rRNA
Rfam family: Bacterial small subunit ribosomal RNA
Source: RNAcentral